GACGAACGCUGGCGGCGUGCCUAACACAUGCAAGUUGAGCGACGAACCAGGGCUUGCCCUGGGGCAAAGCAGCGAACGGGUGAGUAACACGUGGGUAACCUACCCCGAUAACCGGGACAACCCGAGGAAACUCGGGCUAAUACCGGAUGUGCUCACUGGACUUCGGUUCAGUGCGUAAAGGAAGCUUCGGCCUCCGUAUCGGGAGGGGCCCGCGGCCCAUUAGUUUGUUGGUGAGGUAACGGCUCACCAAGACCGCGAUGGGUAGCUGGUCUGAGAGGACGAUCAGCCCCACUGGGACUGAGACACGGCCCAGACUCCUACGGGAGGCAGCAGUGGGGAAUCUUGCGCAAUGCGCGAAAGCGUGACGCAGCAACGCCGCGUGGGGGAAGAAGGCCUUCGGGUUGUAAACCCCUUUCAGGAGGGACGAAGGUUCGGCGGUGAAUAGCCGUCCGGACUGACGGUACCUCCACAAGAAGCCCCGGCUAACUACGUG
RNAcentral lists this ribosomal RNA (493 nucleotides) under uncultured bacterium. RNAcentral describes it as "partial 16S ribosomal RNA". It matches the Rfam family "Bacterial small subunit ribosomal RNA", at positions 28 to 507 of the family's 1533-position model. The record is from RNAcentral.